GGGUUACGGAGUGAUUCUCUGGGUCACCUCCCACCCGUGUUUAUUUUACCUUGUUGCUUCGGCGAGCCUGCCUUCGGGCUGCCGGGGGGCAUCUGCCCCCGGGUCCGCGCUCGCCGGAGACACCUUGAACUCUGUCUGAAGAUUGUAGUCUGAGACAAAAUAUAAAUUAUUUAAAACUUUCAACAACGGAUCUCUUGGUUCCGGCAUCGAUGAAGAACGCAGCGAAAUGCGAUACGUAAUGUGAAUUGCAGAAUUCAGUGAAUCAUCGAGUCUUUGAACGCACAUUGCGCCCUCUGGUAUUCCGGAGGGCAUGCCUGUCCGAGCGUCAUUGCUGCCCUCAAGCACGGCUUGUGUGUUGGGCUCCGUCCUCCUUCUGGGGGGACGGGCCCGAAAGGCAGCGGCGGCACCGCGUCCGGUCCUCGAGCGUAUGGGGCUUUGUCACCCGCUCUGUAGGACUGGCCGGCGCCUGCCGAUCAACCAAACUUUUUUCCAGGUUGACCUCGGAUCAGGUAGGGAUACCCGCUGAACUUAAGCAUAUCAAUAAGCGGAGGAA
This 553-nucleotide ribosomal RNA is filed under the name Penicillium olsonii. RNAcentral describes it as "eukaryotic LSU rRNA". The stretch from base 175 to 328 matches the Rfam family "5.8S ribosomal RNA". Lineage: Eukaryota; Fungi; Ascomycota; Eurotiomycetes; Eurotiales; Aspergillaceae. The record is from RNAcentral.